UACAGAGGGGGCAAGCGUUGUUCGGAAUUACUGGGCGUAAAGGGCGCGUAGGCGGCCUGUUAAGUCGAACGUGAAAUCCCCGGGCUCAACCCGGGAACUGCGUCCGAUACUGGCAGGCUUGAAUCCGGGAGAGGGAUGCGGAAUUCCAGGUGUAGCGGUGAAAUGCGUAGAUAUCUGGAGGAACACCGGUGACGAAGGCGGCAUCCUGGACCGGCAUUGACGCUGAGGCGCGAAAGCCAGGGGAGCAAACGGG
RNAcentral lists this ribosomal RNA (253 nucleotides) under uncultured bacterium. Its description in RNAcentral is "partial 16S ribosomal RNA". It matches the Rfam family "Bacterial small subunit ribosomal RNA", at positions 524 to 776 of the family's 1533-position model. The record is from RNAcentral.